AUACGUAGGGGGCGAGCGUUGCCCGGAAUGAUUGGGCGUAAAGGGCGCGUAGGCGGCCCGGUAAGUCUGGAGUGAAAGUCCUGUUUUUAAGAUGGGAAUUGCUUUGGAUACUGUCGGGCUUGAGUGCAGGAGAGGUAAGUGGAAUUCCCAGUGUAGCGGUGAAAUGCGUAGAGAUUGGGAGGAACACCAGUGGCGAAGGCGACUUACUGGACUGUAACUGACGCUGAGGCGCGAAAGUGUGGGGAGCAAACAGGAUUAGAUACCCUGGUAGUCCACACUGUAAACGAUGAAUGCUAGGUGUAGGGGGUAUCGACCCCUUCUGUGCCGCAGUCAACACAAUAAGCAUUCCGCCUGGGGAGUACGGCCGCAAGGUUGAAACUCAAAUGAAUUGACGGGG
RNAcentral lists this ribosomal RNA (397 nucleotides) under uncultured bacterium. RNAcentral describes it as "partial 16S ribosomal RNA". It matches the Rfam family "Bacterial small subunit ribosomal RNA", at positions 523 to 918 of the family's 1533-position model. The record is from RNAcentral.